Molecule: transfer RNA, 69 nt
Filed under: Bos taurus (domestic cattle)
Lineage: Eukaryota; Metazoa; Chordata; Mammalia; Artiodactyla; Bovidae
Also listed under: 2 other names
Rfam family: tRNA
About the family: Transfer RNA (tRNA) molecules are approximately 80 nucleotides in length. Their secondary structure includes four short double-helical elements and three loops (D, anti-codon, and T loops). Further hydrogen bonds mediate the characteristic L-shaped molecular structure. tRNAs have two regions of fundamental functional importance: the anti-codon, which is responsible for specific mRNA codon recognition, and the 3' end, to which the tRNAs corresponding amino acid is attached (by aminoacyl-tRNA synthetases). tRNAs cope with the degeneracy of the genetic code in two manners: having more than one tRNA (with a specific anti-codon) for a particular amino acid; and 'wobble' base-pairing, i.e. permitting non-standard base-pairing at the 3rd anti-codon position.
Source: Rfam by way of RNAcentral
CCUGGUGGCUCAGGUGGUAAAGAACCCGCCUGCAAUGCGGGAGACCUGGGUUCGAUCCCUGCACUGGGA